Molecule: non-coding RNA, 689 nt
Filed under: Danio rerio (zebrafish)
Lineage: Eukaryota; Metazoa; Chordata; Actinopteri; Cypriniformes; Danionidae
Description: Eukaryotic large subunit ribosomal RNA
Rfam family: Eukaryotic large subunit ribosomal RNA
Source: Rfam by way of RNAcentral
GAUAAUUGGCUUGUAGCGGCCAAACAUUCAUGGCGACGUCGCUUUUUGAUCAUUCAAUGUGAGCUCUUCCUAUCAUUAGCUAUGUUUCCAUCUAAAAAUGUAAAUUAACUUUAUGUGCAAAACUGGAAUAUUGUAUAAAAGAUGUGCAAACAAAGUAGCAUUUCCGUCCAACGAGUCAAAGCGAACAAAAUCUUCAACUGGCACCAAAUAUCAACAGUAAAAAUGGAGAAUCUGCGGUAGGAGAAGCUGCGUGAAUCUUUUCUUCAUUUAAUAAAUGACUUGCACCUCAGAAGACAAUCCUGACAAGCAGCACUGACGCUCAUUAAUAAUAUAAUAACACUAAUACUUACUGUAAACAGUAAGGGGUUUUAGAUUGGCCAAAACAACAUUUCAGAUGGUUUACAAUGUGCUCAGCCUGCUGGUCUAUCCAUUCGCACACAUUUCUAUCAUCACAUGAUCUCUUAUAAAAAAAUCACAUGACUUUUUGAAAUAUGCAUACUGGAAUUUGUUCGGUAAAAGUGGUUCCAUCACAGAUUAUGCACAUCUUUUUCAUGCACAUUUUCAAAAUUUAUGCGCAUAAAAUAGGUGGAUGGAAACGUAGCUAUUGUGAAGCAGAAUUCACCAAGCGUUGGAUUGUUCACUCACUAACAGGGAACGCAAGCUGGGUUUAGACUGCCAUGAGACAGGUU